Molecule: unclassified non-coding RNA, 403 nt
Filed under: Carex adelostoma
Lineage: Eukaryota; Viridiplantae; Streptophyta; Magnoliopsida; Poales; Cyperaceae
Description: partial external transcribed spacer 1
Source: RNAcentral
GGAUCGGUUGCCUGUGCGGUUCUACCCUGUUUUGGGUAGCGAAGUCGUCCCUUGAUGGAUAUUUGCUUGCCCUGAUGACAUUUUUGUGUCUUUUGGGGCAGCCGAAAUGUUGGCGAAAUCCUUGUGUUGGCGUGUGGUGAAGUGCCGCGUUGCUAUGACUUGGAUUUUUGCUGGCUCUCACGGAUGUGGUGCCUAGUGCUAGCUCUGUGGGACUUUGCCCCGCAGACUUCGGGAGGUCCCUUGUGCGAACCAUUGCUCUUAUACGCCGUCUCGUCGUGUCGCCACCGCGGCACGCAGAUCGUGUUCUUUCGUGCAGUCGUUGACAGCACGUUACGAACAUCAGCGAAGAGGCGUUUGUGCAGGUGGAUAGCCUCUCUGACCGUAUGAGUAGCGAUUUCCGGUU